GUGAGGAAUAUUGGACAAUGGGCGCAAGCCUGAUCCAGCCAUGCCGCGUGCAGGAAGACGCAUCUAUGGUGUGUAAACUGCUUUUGUACGGGAAGAAACACUCCCUCGUGAGGGAGCUUGACGGUACCGUAAGAAUAAGGAUCGGCUAACUCCGUGCCAGCAGCCGCGGUAAUACGGAGGAUCCAAGCGUUAUCAGGAAUCAUUGGGUUUAACGGGUCCGUAGGCGGUUUAAUAAGGCAGUGGUGAAAGCCCAUCGCUCAACGAUGGAAGGGCCAUUGAUACUGUUAGACUUGGAUUACAAGGAAGUAACUAGAAUAUGUAGUGUAGCGGUGAAAUGCUUAGAUAUUACAUGGAAUACCAAUUGCGAAGGCAGGUUACUACUUGUGGAUUGACGCUGAUGGACGAAAGCGUGGGGAGCGAACAGGAUUAGAUACCCCGGUAGUCC
RNAcentral lists this ribosomal RNA (445 nucleotides) under uncultured bacterium. RNAcentral's name for it is "partial 16S ribosomal RNA". It matches the Rfam family "Bacterial small subunit ribosomal RNA", at positions 354 to 796 of the family's 1533-position model. The record is from RNAcentral.